Long non-coding RNA from Bos taurus (domestic cattle), 1273 nucleotides. The record is from Ensembl. Lineage: Eukaryota; Metazoa; Chordata; Mammalia; Artiodactyla; Bovidae.
GCCCGGGAAAGAGGUGAGGCAGUUGACCUGGGGAGGUGUUCAGAGCCUCACCCUCAGUCACCCAGCCAGAGGCACCCACGCUGAAUUUAAAGGUGGCCUUAAUUCUGGCAUCCUCUGCACCGCACUCCAUGGAAGCAGCACGUGACAACAGGUGCAUGAGUCUGGAAAAAAAAUUGAUGGAUGUCACCUCUGAGAUUAGAUGACAAGAGAUUGCCGCUUCCAUCUCACUCGCUCGCUCUUGUUCUACUGGAAGCCAGCUGCAAUAUCAUGAGCACCCUAUAGGGAGGACCACGGCAAGAAACUGGUGGGGGCCACUGGCUAACAGCCAGCAGGGACCUGAGGCCGGCCAGCAGCCGCCUGACUGGGAAGUGGAGACUCCCUAAAUUAAGCCCUCUCAUGAGACUUCAGCCCUGGCUUACAUCUCCAUUGCAGCCUGUGAGGCUUGAACCAGAAGACCCAGCAAAGCACUGCCUGGGCUCUGCGCCCAUGGAAACAAUAAGCUCCUCUAAAUAGCAGCUCUGGUGAACUCUCAAAAGAUAGCCAUCCACAAGCCAAGGAGAGAGGACUCAAGAAGAAACCGACCCGGCUGACACCUUGAUCUUGGACCUCCAGCCUCCAGAACUGAGAUGACAAACUUCUGUUGUUUAAGCUGCCCAGUCCGCUGUGUUUUGUCGUCACCCAUCUAGAAAACUAAUGGGGUCAGCUGCACUCCCUGUGGCUGGAGAAUGAGCGAGGCUCAUUCUCAUGGUGCUACAUUAACAGCAACAACUUUCCCCUACCUUCAUUUACAAAGAACACAGCUCCUCCUCUGGAUGCAGACACAAACACCCACACGGGAGGAGCUAACAACAUCAGUGACAGAACUAGGGGACAGCGGGACCUUACUGAACACCAGUCAGUGUGCCUGGAUUGGGCGCCACUGGGAAUUCUUCCUCAGACGUGAGUCAGUCAGAGGCUUGGAAGUCACUUGCCAAUCGGGGUCUGCCUUCUUUUGCUGCCUUUGCAGACCUUUCUUCUGCCACGUGUGUUGGACGCAUGGCCCAGUCACCCCUACUGCUCCAGCUGAUAGCCAGCCAACCUCCUGGCACAUGAAAGAGGCCAUCCUUUAUCCACCUUUCUCGGCUGAUCCACCAUCUGACCACAGAUGCAAGAGCAAACCCAGCCAAGAUCAACCCAGAAGGCCCUCCCACUGACCCAGACACUCAUGAGCUAAACACAUUUCUGGCAAGAUUUCCUACAGCUGUGGCUAUAGCUAAUUGAGAGUACCUAUAAC